Pimephales promelas (fathead minnow) is the source of this 854-nucleotide non-coding RNA. The record is from RefSeq and is a predicted model, not a curated record. NCBI's taxonomy places the organism in Eukaryota, Metazoa, Chordata, Actinopteri, Cypriniformes, Leuciscidae.
UGGCGAUGGACGAGGAUACGCACGAAAGAGAGGAGGACAGAGUGCGCCGGACCUGUGUUUGUCCCGUCUGACGGAAUGGGCGCCAAGGGACGGGCAAGUGAUGUGGGAAACCUGUGCUGAAACUGUCAAUGCUGUCGGGCUGCAGGGCUUUUCGACGCGUCACUGCUUCCUUCUGUUUUAGAGGAGGAAGAUCAUGACGUGGAUGGACGUCUUCUGCUGACAUGAUCCUGCAUGCAAAGCAAAAAGUUAGAUCUGAGAUUAAUCUGGUGACUGGAUAAUUGCCCGUGUAAACUGUUGAUGUGCAAAUGACACGAGUAAAAAUCAAUGCUUCUCCUCCUCACCUCCAUAAAUAUGAUGAUGUAUUGAGCUGGAAACUUGUCCGUCCUCAGAAACACGUCUUAGUUGCUGGUAAAACGGAACCAAGUCAGGUGUUUGAGAGAGGUUUGGUCCCUUUCAACCAGCUACUGCGCCGUGAAUUCAACCAGCAACAGCAACAACUAAAAACAGGUGGAUUUGCAUCCAAAAUAUCACAAUAUAAAAAAGUUUCUUAAAUAUGUGCUUAAUGCAUAACUGCCAUUUUAACCUAUAUCACAAAAACACUGGUGUUGUGUAUUAUUAUGUUUAAUAGCAAUGAUAUAAAAUUUGUGCAAUAUUUCAGUUCUGCUCUCUACAGGAACGAACAGGUAAAUCUUCAUCAGCCAAAUGUUUCUAUAUUAUAGAUGUUUUCUAAAUACAUGAACAUAAAUCCAGUUACUUUUUUUUUAAACCAGUCCUGUGUUUUCCAUCUUGUGUCUUGUAAUAUGAGCACAUUUUGAUAAAAAAAAAAUUUAAAUAAAAGCUAGCAUUUGUCUUUA